Long non-coding RNA from Hermetia illucens (black soldier fly), 539 nucleotides. RefSeq lists it as uncharacterized. The transcript has 3 exons. Lineage: Eukaryota; Metazoa; Arthropoda; Insecta; Diptera; Stratiomyidae. The record is from RefSeq and is a predicted model, not a curated record.
AUCUUGUUUCUCCAUUUCUUUGCUAGUUAUUGUUUUGGUGGGAUCAUGCCAUUGUGAAUAGUAAAAUUUCGAUCCCACUGUUGGUCGCCUCAGUAAACACAUAGAUACCUUUUACUAGCCAAGAGAUACACACAUACAUCUAGAUUGGGCCGGCUUACUAGCCUGCCCCGUUCCCCCUCUGAUGGGGGACACUUGCGGCUGACCAAAAUCUUCAUCUGUUUGUUUCUUGUCAAAAAUGAGACCACAUAAUCCCAUCCGUGAAAUGAUUAAAAAAAAAAAGAUGAAGACAAAAAAAUGAAAACCAAGUCAACAUUUAAGAUCAAUCAAACUAAAAACUUCAAAUGGACGAGAAAAAUGAGGGGAAGAUCAUAAAAAGCAGGUAAAGUAUAAUCUAUCUAUACAUAUGUUACCAUACGGUCGAGAUAGAUUCAGGUUUUUUAUAUCUACUUAGUUAUAGCUCACUUGAAUUUGGCUGAUUUUUUUGAGUAGUAUUUUCACGGAGCUCUGUGACGGUCAACUCGACUUCAAACGUUCGAAAU